GUAAGUCUUGUAUCGCAAUUUGUCAUGCAAAACGUGUGCAUCUCAUACAAUUUGUCAAGUAAUUAAAGCGUUUGUGUCUAGGGGAGUGCAUCGGUCGGUUCGGUUGGGUUUUACAUAUUAUCGUUCGAUUUAUCGAUUUUUGGUUUUUAAAUAUGCUAAACCAAUAACCAAAUCAAUAAAAUAAUUUUUUUCGAUUUUUAGUCCUUAACGAUUCGAUUUUCGGUUUAACCGAUAAGAAAAUACUCAUAAAAUAGAAAUAGUAGUAACUAACAUGUAAAAAAUGAAUCGUAGUUGCAACAAAAAUCCUACAUGAAGUGUUUAAAUUUACAAAAAUCUUCAAGUUUGAACUAAAUGUUGUUAGGAGAAAUUAAGAGUUUGUAUAAUUGAAAAAAUAGGUUUGUUAAUGUGUAGAAAUAAAAGAUAAAUAUAUAAUAAGUCAUAUAUAUAUUCUUAUUGGGUUAUCGGUUUACCCAAUAACCCAAUAAGAAAAAAUCGAAUCGAACCAAUAACCCAAUAAUUUUUUUUAUAAAAUCAUUAACCUAAUAACAAUAAACCAAUAAUAAUUUUUAUCGGUUCGAUUUAUCCUGUUAUCUACUCUGUUGAAUUUCAUAAUCAUUUACACACAAAUGGCCAGGGGACAAAGUAUACUGUAUGCUGUCAAUGUGGAUAUGACUUUUAGCAUAUAGUAUAUGAUAAAUAGAUCGGCACGCUUGUCUUUGAAACUCAUAUUUUUUCUCUUUCUUAAUUUUGUGGUUGAAUUUUCAAAAACCCUUGGUGGUUUCUUCCUUUCCUUCGAUAAACUUUUGUAUUUAGUAGUAAUAUUAUUUCAUAAAUUGAGACCACAAGACUAUUCAAUUUUGUCUGGGCCCACAUAUGUGCCCAUUUUUUCCUUUUCAGAUUGACCUACGGUGGAAAUUAGGUAGUGUGUAGUGGACACACAAGUCACAACGGACAUUGAUGUGACUUUUAAAUUUUAGCCUAAAUAGGUCUUAUCGAACAACGAUAUAAAAGGAAAACAAGUAAACCUCAGGAGGAGCCUUAGGUUGGAUAUAGUAGGUACGAGGAGGUGAAGAUGUAGGCCAAAAAAUGAGGAGAGAUUAUUGGACGUGACCUUAGAUAGACUAAUGUGGAGGGCAUGUAUUAGAGCGGAAGAUUAGUCAAGUAGGGAGAGUUGUCUUGCUUUGAGGGUUUAGGUGUUUGUGUUCGUCGUGAACCAGCCAUAGUAGGACAUGUAUUAGACCUCACUUGAGGGAUUUCACCGGGCAAAAAAAAAAAGCUACAAGAACAUCUGCUUAUAAAAUAGCUUAAAUCAAAGACUAAAGACAGAAUUGACUUCUAACUCGUUGCUAAAUCAUCAACUACUUUGUUUCUGUUUGUUUAUUUUUCUUUAGGGAGCUGAGGGGAGGGGAAAUCGCGCUACAUUAUGUACACAAUGAAAGGCGCAUAUGAGAAAUUAUUUAGAAGAAAAAGCUACUGAACUUCUCCAUCCUUACCAAAUUGCCAGUGAUCCUCAUAGUCACCAUCCCUAUGAGAAUCACUCUGAGGAUCUCGCUUUUGUUUCUUAUGCUGGCCCUCUGGUUUACCUUCCGAACUCCAGACAUCAUGCUGGUCCAUCUAUUACAUCAAUAAUUAAUGAGAUCUUAUGUACGAACUAUGUGAUGACCUUAAUUCUCAAGAAUGAGAUACGUAGGCGGCCCAUGUCGGCUUCGGUCAACCUAUUAGAUUUUUCUAUAUAUCCUUAGUGUAGUCUUGAACUACGUUUGACUUGAUUCCUACUUCAACGGGAUACAUAGGCGCCCCAACAGCUUGAUCAUAUAACCCCAGAAAAUGGAAACUGGGACAGAAUUUUCGAGAAAGAAUCUCGAAAAUUCACAAGAGAAGAUCAACAUCCAACAAAGAGAGUGAAGAUCAACAAAGACUUCAGAUCCACUCGAGAUGAUAUCAUCUCAGACCACUUUAAACUGGGGCAGAAAUUUUGAGGGGGUCCUCAAAAUUUCCACAAAUAUAUUCAAAUAUAUUUCAAAUUCCCCAGCACUAGAGGUCGAAGUUGAGAUUUGAGGAUCGUCACCUACGAUAAAGUCUAGGAAGAUUGAAUCUCCGUCUUUGAUAAAACUUCUGGUAGAGAGCCUUGACAAUGCCGAAUCCCUAAAAAUCCUCCGUCAAACGUCGAACAUUGUCAGAAUCAAGAGAAAGACGGUCGUUGAGCUAGCAUAUGACAUGACUGACUGGCAGAUAUUUUUCGAAGUUUUGCAGGAGUUCUCGAAACUAUUUUCUAAAAAAUUAAGAGUACUUUGAAAAAAAUCUAUAUAAAUCUUUUACUUAGUGAUUGCCUAGACAUUAAUUAGGAUGGGGAGUCAGGGGUGGAAGUCCCAACAUGAUGAAAUACCUGAAAGAUGGCGAGGAAAAAUCAAGGAUCGUAGGAGGUCAACACGGAGUAGUUUCUUUCAAACUAAUCAUUUUUUGUGGAUGCAGGGAUCGAUACACAAAAUGAGCGUUUCUUUCGAAAAACCCCCAAGCAAGUCGGGAGCCAUGACAGAGCAUAUAAGGCUUAAUAACGGUACUUUUGGUAGCCCAAAAACCGGCUCAAUACCCAUUUAUUGACGACCUUUCGAAUUGUCCAUCUCAUUUCUUGAGAUCAUGGAGGACAAACAAAAGUGUCUUGUCUUCUUUACAAAUAUUGUAUUUAGAUUUUUUCUAAAAAAAACAGUCACUAGCAAAAGUGAAUUUGUGUCUACUAAUCGUCUACCUUGAGUACAGGUACAUGCAAAAAGCAAGACCCUGACAAAUGAUUUCAGGAGAAGCUGUUUUUAAUUUACCGGAAGAACUAUUGCAUGUCAUUGCCAAAAGGGCCAUUGCAUAUCAUCGUCAUUCAAUAUCUAUUGAUGCGCUAGACACAACGCUGGCAUCGAGGAUAUCAUCAGCAUUCAAUAUAUCCGUUGACACGCAAGACACAAUGCUGGUGUCGAGGAUAUCAUCAUCAUUCAAUAUCUGUUGAUGCGCUAGACACAACGCUGGUGUCUAGGAUAUCAUCAGCAUUCAAUAUAUCUGUUGACAUGCAAGACACAAUGCUGGUGUCGAGGAUAUCAUCAUCAUUCAAUAUCUGUUGAUGCGCUAGACACAACGCUGGUGUCUAGGAUAUCAUCAGCAUUCAAUAUAUCUGUUGACACGCAAGACACAAUACUAGCGUCGAGGAUAUCAUCAUUAUUUUAUAUCUUUUGACAUGCAAGACACAAUGCUGGCGUUGAGGAUAUCAUCAUCAUGCAAUAUCUGUUGACGCACUAGACACAACGCUGGUGUUGGGAUAUCAUCAGCAUUCAAUAUAUCUAUUGACACGCAAGACACAAUGCUGGCAUCGAGGAUAUCAUCAUCAUUUAGUAUCUAUUGACGCGCUAGACACAAUGCUAACGUCAAGGAUAUCAUCAGCAUUCAAUAUAUCUGUUGACACGCAAGACACACCGCUGGCGUCGAGGAUAUCAUCAUCAUUUUAUAUCUGUUGACACGCAAGACAUAAACGCUGGCGUCAAGGAUAUCUUAUCAUUUUAUGAAUCAGCAUCUGAAUGCAUCGAGAGCACACGAUUUGAAGGGACACCUUUAAGUCGCUAUCAAGGAUGAAUGAAAUAUAAGAUUUCCUAGAAAUUGACAAUUUGAGGGUCAUCUAUGAGUCAUAUUAUUUAAAAUAGGAUAGUAUGCAAGAUCACCUAUGAGUUGAUAGCCUGUAGGUCAUCCGUAAGCCACAACAACAUCCUAAUCGGAUAGUGUGCAAGAUCACCCAAAAGUCGAUAGUUCAAAGGUUAUCCAUAAGUCGAAACUAAAUCCUUACCGGAGAAUAUGCAAGAUUAUCAAAUUGAUACGUCCAAGGGUUCUCUAUAAGCCAUGUCAUAUCCAAGAUCGAUUAUGUGUAGGAUUACCCAAAGACUAACAAUUUGAGGGAUUAUCUAUAAGUCAUAUUGUAUCCAAGGUCGGAUGAUGUGCAGGAACACGUGAAAGCUAGCGAUUGGAGGGAUAUCUGUAAGUCAUCUCUUCUCUUAUUCAAAGUCGGAUAAUGUGCAGGAUUACCUAAAAUCUAGAAAUCAAAAGGAUAUCUGUAAUUCACCUCGUAUCCAACAUCAAAUAAUGCGUAAGAUUAUCCAAAGAUUGAUAAUUUAAAGGAAAUUUAUAAAUCGAUCAUCGGCUAUAACCGGAGAGGUUAUCAUUCCACAUGCAACAAAUGAUAUAGAUACCCAAAGGGUUUCCACACCAGCACAAGAUUACACGGUUAUAGUUCUGCAUAAAGUAUCGCCGGUGUACAAAAAGGCCACCCACUUUGAAUACAUAUUCAACCGACAAAUGUCAUAAUUAUACAACAACCAAGGGGGUUGUUAAGUUUGGUAUUGCCUGUUAUUUCAUUCCAAACAGGUACAUGAAGAGAUGACUCCGCUUUUCAGGCCACAACUCACGUGGAGAUAUGGUAAAAGACUGCAUACCUCUUUCGUGAAUUAUGUUUAGCACUAACACUUUUUGCUUGAAGCAUUGUCGAGAGCAUCCGAGAAGAUGAAAAUAUC
Molecule: long non-coding RNA, 4541 nt
Filed under: Capsicum annuum
Lineage: Eukaryota; Viridiplantae; Streptophyta; Magnoliopsida; Solanales; Solanaceae
Description: long non-coding RNA (CANN_LNC021187)
Source: RNAcentral